ACCCUGCUUCUUGCAAAAAAAGCACUCUGCCUAAUUUUGAUCAGUCUUGAACUUGAGUUUCUGGGACUGACUCCCAGCACCAGGUAUCUUUUUAUUCUUCUUCUUUUUUUUCUUAAAGGGAUGAUGACUAUCCAAAGAAGAUCCUUCCACUAGAUUCACUGUCUCCUUGUGGAGCUGAUGAUCUUUUUCAAAAGUCUGUAGCAACCCCAAU
Molecule: long non-coding RNA, 211 nt
Filed under: Elaeis guineensis (African oil palm)
Lineage: Eukaryota; Viridiplantae; Streptophyta; Magnoliopsida; Arecales; Arecaceae
Description: long non-coding RNA (EGUI_LNC004734)
Source: RNAcentral